RNA transcript from Habropoda laboriosa, 1263 nucleotides. It is a transcript of the gene named annexin B9-like, with no coding region annotated. Lineage: Eukaryota; Metazoa; Arthropoda; Insecta; Hymenoptera; Apidae. The record is from RefSeq and is a predicted model, not a curated record. The transcript is spliced from 8 exons.
GUAUGCGCAAUCACCUAUAUAACACCUCUUGUCAAUUGUUAAGUAUAUAUAUAACUGUACCUUCAAAGGACUUUUAAAAAGUAGUGACGGUGAUACGGAAUUCAUAUUAUAACAAUAUCCUAAAGUGCUGAUUUGAAUCAUGUCAGCUAAGCAGUACUACCAUGUACAGUGUACACCAACAGUUUAUCCUGCUGACCCUUUCAAUCCGGAAGAGGAUGCGGCUCUUUUACGAACUGCUAUGAAGGGUUUUGGUACAGAUGAACAAACAAUAAUUGAUGUCCUUGCUCAUCGUGGAAUUGUACAACGACUUGAAAUAGCUGAUAAAUUUAAAACAAUGUAUGGAAAAGACCUUAUUUCUGAAUUGAAAUCAGAACUUGGCGGUAAUUUCGAAAAGGCAAUUUUAGCAUUAAUGACACCAUUACCAGAACUUUAUGCUAAAGAACUUCAUAAAGCAAUUUCUGGAAUGGGCACUGAUGAAGGUGCUCUUAUUGAAGUAUUGGCAUCUCUUAGCAAUUAUGGCAUCAAGACUAUAUCUGCUGUCUAUAAAGAAUUGUAUGACAAUGACUUGGAAGAAGAUCUGAAAGGUGAAACAUCUGGUCACUUUAAGAGGCUGCUAGUGUCACUCUCAUGUGCUAAUAGAAAUGAAGAUACCGAUGUUGAUGAAGAAGCUGCAUAUUUGGAUGCAGAAAGGCUUCUUGAGGCUGGAGAGCUUCAGUGGGGAACAGACGAAAGUACCUUUAAUGCUAUUCUCGUAACUAAAAGCUAUCCUCAGCUACGAAAGAUUUUCCAGGAAUAUGAACGUCUUGCUGACCAUAGUUUGGAAGAUGCUAUUAAGAGAGAAUUUUCUGGAAGUCUUGAAGACGGCUAUCUUGCAGUUGUGAAAUGUGCACGAGAUAAAACUGCAUACUUUGCGGAAAGGUUAUACAAAGCUAUACGUGGAUUAGGUACAGAUGACGCAACGUUGAUACGCAUAAUUGUAGCCCGAUCGGAAAUUGAUUUGGGAGAUAUUAAGGAAAUUUAUCAAAAAAUGUAUGGACAAUCACUUGCAGGAGAUAUUGACGAUGACUGUUCGGGAGACUACAAGAGGCUCUUGCAUGCGCUACUUGGAUGAACACAUUUCAUGUUCAACAACUCAUUUUAUUUUUAAAUCGUACUUUAAUAUCAAGGAUGAUUCUUUGCGAUAUUCUGCAGAGAUUUGUAGAUGCAUUAAUUUUAAUUUGAUCUGAAUUACAUCGAUAAUUAGCAAGUGACUGCAGCGAAGAG